CCGGCGAUGUCCGAAUGGGGAAACCCAGUGCAAUUCGUUGCACUAUCGUUAACUGAAUACAUAGGUUAACGAGGCGAACCGGGGGAACUGAAACAUCUAAGUACCCCGAGGAAAAGAAAUCAACCGAGAUUCCCCCAGUAGCGGCGAGCGAACGGGGAGCAGCCCAGAGUCUGAAUCAGCUUGUGUGUUAGUGGAACGGUCUGGAAAGUCCGACGGUACAGGGUGAUAGUCCCGUACACCAAAAUGCACAGGUUGUGAACUCGAAGAGUAGGGCGGGACACGUGGUAUCCUGUCUGAAUAUGGGGGGACCAUCCUCCAAGGCUAAAUACUCCUGACUGACCGAUAGUGAACCAGUACCGUGAGGGAAAGGCGAAAAGAACCCCGGCGAGGGGAGUGAAAAAGAACCUGAAACCGUGUACGUACAAGCAGUGGGAGCACCUUCGGGUGUGACUGCGUACCUUUUGUAUAAUGGGUCAGCGACUUAUAUUCUGUAGCAAGGUUAACCGUAUAGGGGAGCCGCAGGGAAACCGAGUCUUAACUGGGCGUUAAGUUGCAGGGUAUAGACCCGAAACCCGGUGAUCUAGCCAUGGGCAGGUUGAAGGUUGGGUAACACUAACUGGAGGACCGAACCGACUAAUGUUGAAAAAUUAGCGGAUGACUUGUGGCUGGGGGUGAAAGGCCAAUCAAACCGGGAGAUAGCUGGUUCUCCCCGAAAGCUAUUUAGGUAGCGCCUCGUGAACUCAUCUUCGGGGGUAGAGCACUGUUUCGGCUAGGGGGUCAUCCCGACUUACCAACCCGAUGCAAACUACGAAUACCGAAGAAUGUUAUCACGGGAGACACACGGCGGGUGCUAACGUCCGUCGUGAAGAGGGAAACAACCCAGACCGCCAGCUAAGGUCCCAAAGUCAUGGUUAAGUGGGAAACGAUGUGGGAAGGCACAGACAGCCAGGAUGUUGGCUUAGAAGCAGCCAUCAUUUAAAGAAAGCGUAAUAGCUCACUGGUCGAGUCGGCCUGCGCGGAAGAUGUAACGGGGCUAAACCAUGCACCGAAGCUGCGGCAGCGACACUAUGUGUUGUUGGGUAGGGGAGCGUUCUGUAAGCCUGCGAAGGUGACCUGUGAGGGUUGCUGGAGGUAUCAGAAGUGCGAAUGCUGACAUAAGUAACGAUAAAGCGGGUGAAAAGCCCGCUCGCCGGAAGACCAAGGGUUCCUGUCCAACGUUAAUCGGGGCAGGGUGAGUCGACCCCUAAGGCGAGGCCGAAAGGCGUAGUCGAUGGGAAACAGGUUAAUAUUCCUGUACUUGGUGUUACUGCGAAGGGGGGACGGAGAAGGCUAUGUUAGCCGGGCGACGGUUGUCCCGGUUUAAGCAUGUAGGCUGGUUGUCCAGGCAAAUCCGGAUAAUCAAGGCUGAGGUGUGAUGACGAGG
RNAcentral lists this ribosomal RNA (1423 nucleotides) under Klebsiella pneumoniae. RNAcentral's name for it is "partial 23S ribosomal RNA". It matches the Rfam family "Bacterial large subunit ribosomal RNA", at positions 104 to 1574 of the family's 2925-position model. Lineage: Bacteria; Pseudomonadati; Pseudomonadota; Gammaproteobacteria; Enterobacterales; Enterobacteriaceae. The record is from RNAcentral.